GACGAACCGUGCGAACGUUGUUCGGAAUCACUGGGCUUAAAGGGCGCGUAGGCGGGCGGGCAAGUCAGGGGUGAAAUCCCACGGCUCAACCGUGGAAGUGCCCUUGAUACUGCCGGUCUCGAGGGAGGUAGGGGCGUGCGGAACUUCCGGUGGAGCGGUGAAAUGCGUAGAUAUCGGAAGGAACACCGGUGGCGAAAGCGGCGCGCGGGAUCUCUACUGACGCUGAGGCGCGAAAGCCAGGGGAGCAAACGGG
Molecule: ribosomal RNA, 253 nt
Filed under: uncultured bacterium
Lineage: Bacteria
Description: partial 16S ribosomal RNA
Rfam family: Bacterial small subunit ribosomal RNA
Source: RNAcentral